Molecule: ribosomal RNA, 484 nt
Filed under: uncultured bacterium
Lineage: Bacteria
Description: partial 16S ribosomal RNA
Rfam family: Bacterial small subunit ribosomal RNA
Source: RNAcentral
AUUGAACGCUGGCGGCAGGCCUAACACAUGCAAGUCGAGCGGAUGAAGGGAGCUUGCUCCUGGAUUCAGCGGCGGACGGGUGAGUAAUGCCUAGGAAUCUGCCUGGUAGUGGGGGAUAACGUCCGGAAACGGGCGCUAAUACCGCAUACGUCCUGAGGGAGAAAGGGGGGGAUCUUCGGACCUCACGCUAUUAGAUGAGCCGAGGUCGGAUUAGCUAGUUGGUGGGGUAAAGGCCUACCAAGGCGACGAUCCGUAACUGGUCUGAGAGGAUGAUCAGUCACACUGGAACUGAGACACGGUCCAGACUCCUACGGGAGGCAGCAGUGGGGAAUAUUGGACAAUGGGCGAAAGCCUGAUCCAGCCAUGCCGCGUGUGUGAAGAAGGUCUUCGGAUUGUAAAGCACUUUAAGUUGGGAGGAAGAGCAGUAAGUUAAUACCUUGCUGUUUUGACGUUACCAACAGAAUAAGCACCGGCUAACUUCGUG